GCAGUGGUGGUUCAGUAGUAGAAUUCUCGCCUUCCAUGCAAGAGACUCAGGUUCAACUCCCAGCCAGUGUA
This 71-nucleotide transfer RNA is filed under the name Loxodonta africana (African savanna elephant). It matches the Rfam family "tRNA". Rfam says of the family: Transfer RNA (tRNA) molecules are approximately 80 nucleotides in length. Their secondary structure includes four short double-helical elements and three loops (D, anti-codon, and T loops). The record is from Rfam by way of RNAcentral. Lineage: Eukaryota; Metazoa; Chordata; Mammalia; Proboscidea; Elephantidae.